GUCCAGAAAAGCGUUGGACACUGACAGGC
RNAcentral lists this non-coding RNA (29 nucleotides) under Rattus norvegicus (Norway rat). The record is from RNAcentral. Lineage: Eukaryota; Metazoa; Chordata; Mammalia; Rodentia; Muridae.